CGGGAGUAACGCGUGGGUAACCGUGCCUCAUACAGGGGGAUAACAGUUAGAAAUGACUGCUAAUACCGCAUAAGCGCACAGUGCUGCAUGGCACAGUGUGAAAAACUCCGGUGGUAUGAGAUGGACCCGCGUCUGAUUAGCUAGUUGGUGGGGUAACGGCCUACCAAGGCGACGAUCAGUAGCCGGCCUGAGAGGGUGAACGGCCACAUUGGGACUGAGACACGGCCCAA
RNAcentral lists this ribosomal RNA (230 nucleotides) under uncultured bacterium. RNAcentral describes it as "partial 16S ribosomal RNA". It matches the Rfam family "Bacterial small subunit ribosomal RNA", at positions 106 to 334 of the family's 1533-position model. The record is from RNAcentral.